Molecule: ribosomal RNA, 384 nt
Filed under: uncultured bacterium
Lineage: Bacteria
Description: bacterial SSU rRNA
Rfam family: Bacterial small subunit ribosomal RNA
Source: RNAcentral
AUUGAACGCUGGCGGCAUGCCUUACACAUGCAAGUCGAACGGCAGCGGACCUUCGGGUGCCGGCGAGUGGCGAACGGGUGAGUAAUGCAUCGGAACGUGCCAUUGAGUGGGGGAUAACGUAGCGAAAGUUGCGCUAAUACCGCAUAUUCUGUGAGCAGGAAAGCAGGGGACCGCAAGGCCUUGCGCUCUUUGAGCGGCCGAUGUCAGAUUAGCUAGUUGGUGAGGUAACGGCUUACCAAGGCGACGAUCUGUAGCGGGUCUGAGAGGAUGAUCCGCCACACUGGAACUGAGACACGGUCCAGACUCCUACGGGAGGCAGCAGUGGGGAAUUUUGGACAAUGGGCGCAAGCCUGAUCCAGCCAUGCCGCGUGAGUGAAGAAGGCC